This 401-nucleotide transfer-messenger RNA is filed under the name pig gut metagenome. It matches the Rfam family "transfer-messenger RNA". Rfam says of the family: Bacterial tmRNA, also known as 10Sa RNA or SsrA, is named for its dual tRNA and mRNA-like properties. The record is from RNAcentral.
GGGGCUGACCGGUUUUGACAGCGCGUAGAGGUGGUGUGUAAGCGUGCAGAGCAAUGAUGGCUACGCUCUAUAAUCAGGGACAUCGACAAUUUUAAAUGGCGAAUCAAACUACGCUCUUGCUGCUUGAUUGAAGUAUAGUAGAUCAGCUUAAUCUCCGCAACAGUUGCAGAGACAAGACAUCGCCCGAGAGUCGUGGGCCCGAGACUCCUCGAUGUGGCGGUGCAGUUAAAUCGGGAAUAGGAUGCUGAGUGCCUCUUGUCAGUGUCUGAAAUCAAAUAGGGGAUAAGGGCAUUAUUGGCCGUCUCAAGCCUGUGGUGCCACGAAAACCAAGAUGAGACUACGCACGUAGAAAGCACAUUAGUUCCGCGUUUGGACGAGGGUUCAAGUCCCUCCAGCUCCAC